RNAcentral lists this ribosomal RNA (419 nucleotides) under uncultured bacterium. RNAcentral's name for it is "bacterial SSU rRNA". It matches the Rfam family "Bacterial small subunit ribosomal RNA", at positions 356 to 773 of the family's 1533-position model. The record is from RNAcentral.
AAGGAAUAUUGGUCAAUGGACGCAAGUCUGAACCAGCCAUGCCGCGUGAAGGAUGAAGGUCCUCUGGAUUGUAAACUUCUUUUAUCUGGGACGAAAACGGGAUUUUUAUCUCAAUUGACGGUACCAGAGGAAUAAGCACCGGCUAACUCCGUGCCAGCAGCCGCGGUAAUACGGAGGGUGCGAGCGUUAUCCGGAUUUACGGGGUUUAAAGGGUGCGUAGGUGGGCUUAUAAGUCAGUGGUGAAAUCUCCGAGCUUAACUUGGAAACUGCCGUUGAUACUAUAGGUCUUGAAUUAUCUGGAGGUAAGCGGAAUAUGUCAUGUAGCGGUGAAAUGCUUAGAUAUGACAUAGAACACCAAUUGCGAAGGCAGCUUACUACAUAUAAAUUGACGCUGAGGCACGAAAGCGUGGGGAUCAAAC